CCCGCUCAGAAACUCAAAGGAAGUUGACGGGGGAGCACCACAACAGGUGGAGCCUGCGGUUUAAUCGGACUCAACGCCGGGAAACUCACCAGAUAAGACAGCUGAAUGAUAGUCGGGCUGAAGACUCUACUUGACUAGCUGAGAGGAGGUGCAUGGCCGUCGUCAGUUCGUACUGUGAAGCAUCCUGUUAAGUCAGGCAACGAGCGAGACCCACGCCAACAGUUGCCAGCUCGUCCUCCGGGAUGGUGGGGACACUGUUGGGACCGCCUCUGCUAAAGAGGAGGAAGGAAUGGGCAACGGUAGGUCAGCAUGCCCCGAAUUAUCUGGGCUACACGCGGGCUACAAUGGGUGGGACAAUGGGUAUCGACACCGAAAGGUGAAGGCAAUCUCCUAAACCCAUCCGUAGUUCGGAUUGUGGGCUGCAACUCGCCCACAUGAAGCUGGAAUCUGUAGUAAUCGUGUCUCAAAAUGGCACGGUGAAUAUGUCCCUGCUCCUU
This 497-nucleotide ribosomal RNA is filed under the name uncultured Methanomicrobiales archaeon. RNAcentral describes it as "bacterial SSU rRNA". It matches the Rfam family "Archaeal small subunit ribosomal RNA", at positions 843 to 1338 of the family's 1478-position model. Lineage: Archaea; Methanobacteriati; Methanobacteriota; Methanomicrobia; Methanomicrobiales. The record is from RNAcentral.